CCCGCGGGAGUUUGCAGCCUCGCGAUUGAUAGCGCACUGAUAUUGAUAGAGCCCUUUCAACAACCCGGCUUCGGCGUUGGCGUGGGCGCGCAGAUAUGACGUAAGAGGAGCCAUUUUGGAUGUUUUUUCUUGGUGCGUUGAGGCAGUUACUUGCGUCUUCACUUUGAUUCGUUCGGGAGCAAGAGCUGUAGCAAGAGCUGCUGAGGUUUUAACACUGCGGCUCAGAAGAAACAAGAGAAAAUGCCGCCUCUUGAAACGGAUAUAACGGUGGAAACAGAAGAGAGAGUAAGAAUCGAGUAUCAUGCAGUACGGGAGCUUAAAGAUCUCUGCGUAAUGAUAAAGCGGUUAAUGUCAGAGCGCUUGAAAAAUGUUGAAUUAAGGGCGAUAGCAGAAAUGUGCAAGCCUGAUGGUGCGGAAGAUAGGGUUGCUGGCGAACCUGAAGGUGCAGAAGAUGGGAUUGCUGAAGUAAAGGAAAACCAAGAAAAAAUCUCACCGCAUGAAGAGAAAGGGGAAAAUAAUUAAAGAAAACGAGAGCCCUAUUGCGCAGAUCCAGAAGAUAGGAUCUGCACGUACGAUGAAUACCUGAAACAGGGAAAAAUCAAAGCUGAAACAGUAAGAACUAAUUGAAGGAAAUUUUCCAGAACGAAGAACAACUGGAUCUGCAAGUAGAAGAAGCUCAAGGGGUACCGUUAAAAUUUAACAAAAAGUAGGCAAAGCAAAACUUAAAGAUGCUGUGGUAAAGAUAUAUCUAGUUGACACCUGUUCAGAUUUGAAUGAUAAAAAUUUCUACAAAUACUCAUACAGAAAGGAGAUUGGUUACCUAUAAAAGGUCAAAAGUAAUCUAACCUUAGAUUUUUCUCUUGUAAAUGUGUAACAAUAUAAACAGUAUCUACAAAGAUUUCAAAAUAAUUUUGAGCCAAGAAUCUCAUACUUUGCUAAUUUUUUGCUGUGUGAAGGCAACUGGAAAACAGACAGGCAGAGAUUUCAAAAGUUUAUCACCCAGGUACCAUCCUUGGAAAAUUUGCUGAAUGAUUGACUUUAGCCAACACUUAAAAAUAGGGAAACGAUUGUAUGAAAAAUUAGUAAUAUGCUUUAAAACGGUAUCCCGAAAGAGCAUUAAGAAUGUUAGAAUCUAUAGAAUUGUAAGAAGAGUUGUAAAAUGUAAGAUUUAAAAGUUGGACCAGUUUAUGUCAUUUCAAACUGAAAAAGCAUGCUAAAUGUUUGAUGUAUAGAAAAUAAAUGGUUUUUUUUCCCUGA
This is a long non-coding RNA of Condylura cristata (star-nosed mole), 1257 nucleotides long. RefSeq lists it as uncharacterized. The transcript is spliced from 2 exons. The record is from RefSeq and is a predicted model, not a curated record. NCBI's taxonomy places the organism in Eukaryota, Metazoa, Chordata, Mammalia, Eulipotyphla, Talpidae.